UACAGAGGGUGCGAGCGUUAAUCGGAAUUACUGGGCGUAAAGCGUGCGUAGACGGUCAUGUAAGUCGGGUGUGAAAUCCCCGGGCUCAACCUGGGAAUUGCAUUCGAGACUGCGUGGCUAGGGUGCGGAAGAGGGAAGCGGAAUUUCCGGUGUAGCGGUGAAAUGCGUAGAUAUCGGAAGGAACAUCAGUGGCGAAAGCGGCUUCCUGGUCCAGCACCGACGUUCAGGCACGAAAGCGUGGGGAGCAAACAGG
Molecule: ribosomal RNA, 253 nt
Filed under: uncultured bacterium
Lineage: Bacteria
Description: partial 16S ribosomal RNA
Rfam family: Bacterial small subunit ribosomal RNA
Source: RNAcentral